UAUAAGUUUGACCUCAUUUGGUUUCGAUAUGUAUAAGUUUCACUAAAGAUAUA
RNAcentral lists this small RNA (53 nucleotides) under Arabidopsis thaliana (thale cress). RNAcentral describes it as "ATSL115780". The record is from RNAcentral. Lineage: Eukaryota; Viridiplantae; Streptophyta; Magnoliopsida; Brassicales; Brassicaceae.